UAAAGGUAAUUAUGCAAUCAUCGCUAAUUACUGCUUCCUACCAUUUCUACAUAGGGACUCUUUAAAACCUCCAACCUCAUGAUCGUGUAAAUUAUCAUCUCCAUUUUACAGAUGAGGAAACUGAGGUGAGGAGGGGUAAGUGACUUGCCCAAGGUCACAGAGCUCAUCAACAGUUUCAAACAUGGGGCGGCCGCUCAUCCACAAGGCCUGAGUGGGAUGCUAAGUACGCUUGGCAAAGCAGAGCCAGCAGAGCAGAGUUAGGAAGGCCCCAGCCCCACCUCAGCCCCCAAGCUGGAGGGGAGCUCACAGAGUGAGGUGGGCAGGCAGAGCUAUGCCUCCAAAAGCUCCCCUACUUCUUCAAGGGUGGCCUGGACCCACUGUGAGGCAGCGAAAACAAAGCCAGUGGUGGCCCUGUUGCUCCCAGCCUGUCCUUGCCAUUGUGAGAAGGGAGCCUGAGCCCAGCCCUCGGCCUAUCUGGGGAGGAAGGAAGGAUGUGGACUUGUCUGUCUUUGAGAACACACGUGAAAAAAAAAACCACAGAGAAGAGGCUUUAGAACUUGCCUCUGCACACUGGCAGCUUGUUCAAGAUUCUUCUCUGGUUGCUAAAAUAGCACAGGGUGUGAGUGGGGGAGAGGGAGGGCCGGCAGAAGAGAAAGAGGAGCUUGUUGGCUCCUUUGGGACCCAGUCACCACUCCCAGUGCGGUGGUGCACCGGGGACGGCAAGCUUCAGAGGGGCCCCUGGGCGGUUUCUGCUUUGUCACUCUGUAUGUGGGGGGAGGGAGAGGAGGCCAUCACUGGCCAUAAAGUCCUUCCUGUGUCACAAGGACCCCUCCCAGUGGCCAGGAUGUGGGGCGGCUGGGUGAAUGAAUGAUGGAUAUUGUUCUGGAGGUGACCUAAGCAGCCGGGAAUGUGGCAGCAGGGGGCUUUAAUGAGCCAUUCAUCAAUGAUUCCUUCCUCCAACCCAAAGAGGUAAACCCUGUCUACUCUGGGGCAGUACUGAAUCCGAAGCAAACAUCUUAAGACAGAGCAACCAAGUGGCAUUCCAGUGGGCACAGUGAUGGACUUCCCUCAGAUGACAUCACCCCAGGUCUUCCUUGCCCUUGACAUCUGCACCAUACAAUCACUUUACUCCGCCACCAGGAUUUGAGGCAAUUUGCUACCCAGCAGUAGAUAACUAACGCAAUAUGGAAGCAGAGUUGCUGUAUCAUAGGUUAACCCACGUUGUAGCCUGUAUCAGUGAGUGUUUCAUCACUUCUUGUCUGAGUAAUACUCUACUUUAUGGAUGUCUCAUGUUUUGUUUAUCCAUUCAUUCUCAAGUUGAUGGACAUUUGGGUCAUUCCUACUUAUGCUAUUAUGAAUAAUGCUGCUACAAACAUUCAUGUGUAAGGUUUUGCGCCAACGUGUUUCCAAUUCCCCUGGGUAUAUACCUAGGUGUCUAACUCCUGGAUCAUAUGGCAACUCUACGUUCAAUCGUUUGAGGAACUACCAAGCUGUUUUCCAAAGAGGCUUCAUCAUUUUACAUUCCCAUCAGCAACAUAUGAGCAUUCCAAUUUCUCCACAUCCUUGCCAACACUUGUUAUUAUCUGACUUUUUGAUUAUAGUCUUCCUAGUGGGUGUGAGGUGGUGUCUCAUUUGCAUUUCCCUAAUAAUUAAUGAUGCUGAGCAUCUGAUUAACCUCUUUGGAAAAUCUGUCUUCUAGUCCAUUUUUUAACUGGUUAUUUGUCUUUUCAUUGAUAUGUUGCAGGCAUUCUUUAUAUAUUCUGGACACUAGACUCUUAUCAGAUAUAUGAUUUGUAAAUAUUCUCUCCCAUCCUGAAGACUGUCUUUUUACUUUUACUUUCUGAGUGUUCUUUGAAGCAAAAAAAGUUUUUAAUUGUCACUAAGUCUAAUAUAACUAUUUUUCUUUGGUUGCUUGUGUUUUUGGUGUCCUAUCUAAUAAACAUUGCCUAAUCCAAGAUCACACAGAUAUUUAAAAAUUAUUAUUAUUAUUAUUAUUUUUGAUAGAGCACACGCAUGUAUGCGCAAGCAGGGGAAGGACAGAGGGAG
Acinonyx jubatus (cheetah) is the source of this 2046-nucleotide long non-coding RNA. RefSeq lists it as uncharacterized. The record is from RefSeq and is a predicted model, not a curated record. The transcript has 4 exons. Lineage: Eukaryota; Metazoa; Chordata; Mammalia; Carnivora; Felidae.